RNAcentral lists this ribosomal RNA (497 nucleotides) under uncultured bacterium. RNAcentral's name for it is "partial 16S ribosomal RNA". It matches the Rfam family "Bacterial small subunit ribosomal RNA", at positions 28 to 507 of the family's 1533-position model. The record is from RNAcentral.
GAUGAACGCUGGCGGCGUGCCUAGUACAUGCAAGUCGAGCGAACAGACGAGGAGCUUGCUCCCCUGACGUUAGCGGCGGACGGGUGAGUAACACGUGGAUAACCUACCUAUAAGACUGGGAUAACUUCGGGAAACCGGAGCUAAUACCGGAUAAUAUAUUGAACCGCAUGGUUCAAUAGUGAAAGACGGUUUUGCUGUCACUUAUAGAUGGAUCCGCGCCGCAUUAGCUAGUUGGUAAGGUAACGGCUUACCAAGGCGACGAUGCGUAGCCGACCUGAGAGGGUGAUCGGCCACACUGGAACUGAGACACGGUCCAGACUCCUACGGGAGGCAGCAGUAGGGAAUCUUCCGCAAUGGGCGAAAGCCUGACGGAGCAACGCCGCGUGAGUGAUGAAGGUCUUCGGAUCGUAAAACUCUGUUAUUAGGGAAGAACAAAUGUGUAAGUAACUAUGCACGUCUUGACGGUACCUAAUCAGAAAGCCACGGCUAACUACGUG